This 1496-nucleotide long non-coding RNA is filed under the name Vulpes vulpes (red fox). Its description in RNAcentral is "lncRNA (ENSVVUG00000022330.1)". The record is from RNAcentral. Lineage: Eukaryota; Metazoa; Chordata; Mammalia; Carnivora; Canidae.
GAAAAGGCUUCUGGAAAUUGAGGAGACUAUUAAUCUGGAUUGACCUUGUAAAGAACUGUGUGUUGUUGAAGACUGUUUUCUCCAAAUCCUCCAAAAUGUCCAUGAUCAUCAAGAGGCUGGGGAGAGGAGUGUGGAUUCAGGAACCUGAGGUAUCCAACACCCACGUUCUGGGGAACCUUGACCUAACCAAGCUAUGACCUCUUUCUUCAUAACAAAAUAAUUUCCUCCAUGUGUAUUAAAGUAUACAAAUUAUGUACUGAAAGAGGAUGGAGGCUAUUCCUAUCAACAAAUCAAAUUACCCAGCAGGGCUACCUUUCUUAUAAGUAUCUUUCUGUAUCCUGGAGCUCAUUUAUCUUACUGUGGUAUUCUUCUGCAAAGUGAAAGACAGAGACCCAAGAGUCUGAAUUCUGAAGCCAGGCUGUCUGUGUAUAAAUCUCAACUCCCUGUCUCCCAAGUCCUUCAUCUCUGGACAAGCUGCAUAACUCUCAUUGCUUCUUUUCCCCACAUGGAAAAUGGAGAUGAUAAUGUACCCACUGCCUAGUAUUAUUUAAUAUUUCUAAUCUCCUGGUUCCCUCUCUCUUUCUCUUUCUCUCUCCUUCCUUCUUUCUUUCUUUCCUUCCUUCUCUUUUUCAAAGCAGUAUCCCCUUAAUUGCUUAAUUCCUUUUUUUUUGCUGCAUCCUUUUAUAACAAUUUUCUAAUGUACUUUAUAUUAAACUGAGCCAUAUGAAAUUGGUUCAUUGUUGAAGGGGAACAGAAUGUAUCACUUCAAAUCUGCCUCUUUGGCGAAAGGAUUAUUUUAGGCUGAAACAGAAGACACAGGAGAAGUAGACAUUAUUCUGUUAUAAAUCACAUUACAAGGGAAAUCUCCGUUUGCAAAGGCUGUCUUUCUCUCUAUGUGGGAAAGAGGGGGAUGCCUCUAAAUCUCAAGAAACUCUCAUCAGUGAAGAAGGUGAUGACUUAAGGCUUAGCAACCUUACCCUGGUCUAUUGUGUUUUUCCUGGUAGCUUCCCAUAACUGGUCUCUACCCACCAACUGGCCCCCAACCCCACCCUACAACACUUUCUUUUGAUUUUAGCUGGAGAUGAUAUUUAGGGUGGUGGGCUUAGGCCAUUUCAGGGAGUUACUCGGUUUUCCUGGGUAUCUCUCACGUAAUACAGGAGGUGUAUAUAUUAUUCAGUUUACUUUUCUCCUGUUAAUCUGUCUUUUUAUUACAGGUCAAUCUUAGCCAAGAACCUAGAAGGAUAGAGGAAAAUUAUUUUUCCUCUCCCACAAUGUUUUUUUGGGAGAGACUAUAAAAUGGGAAUACAUAGUCUUUAGGAAAGAUACAACAAACUUAAAUGAGCAGGUAAACAAAGUUUGAGUUAAGAUAAUGUUUGAGUUAAGAAUUUCUUUAUUCUUUCCAUAGAGAACUCUUUUUAUUCCCAUACUGAAGAGGACUAUGGCAGCUAUUACAUUUUACCCCUACAACUUUAUUUAAGACUUUUUUUUUUUUUACA